GUUGGGUGUUACUUCUAAGUGACU
This 24-nucleotide non-coding RNA is filed under the name Arabidopsis thaliana (thale cress). Lineage: Eukaryota; Viridiplantae; Streptophyta; Magnoliopsida; Brassicales; Brassicaceae. The record is from RNAcentral.